GGUGUCUAUGAAUAUUGUAC
RNAcentral lists this microRNA (20 nucleotides) under Schistosoma mansoni. RNAcentral describes it as "sma-miR-8413-3p". The record is from miRBase by way of RNAcentral. Lineage: Eukaryota; Metazoa; Platyhelminthes; Trematoda; Strigeidida; Schistosomatidae.